AUACGUAGGGGGCGAGCGUUGUCCGGAAUGAUUGGGCGUAAAGGGCGCGUAGGCGGCCCGGUAAGUCUGGAGUGAAAGUCCUGUUUUUAAGAUGGGAAUUGCUUUGGAUACUGUCGGGCUUGAGUGCAGGAGAGGUAAGUGGAAUUCCCAGUGUGGCGGUGAAAUGCGUAGAGAUUGGGAGGAACACCAGUGGCGAAGGCGACUUACUGGACUGUAACUGACGCUGAGGCGCGAAAGUGUGGGGAGCAAACAGGAUUAGAUACCCUGGUAGUCCACACUGUAAACGAUGAAUGCUAGGUGUAGGGGGUAUCGACCCCUUCUGUGCCGCAGUCAACACAAUAAGCAUUCCGCCUGGGGAGUACGGCCGCAAGGUUGAAACUCAA
Molecule: ribosomal RNA, 383 nt
Filed under: uncultured bacterium
Lineage: Bacteria
Description: partial 16S ribosomal RNA
Rfam family: Bacterial small subunit ribosomal RNA
Source: RNAcentral